Molecule: small RNA, 127 nt
Filed under: Marmota monax (woodchuck)
Lineage: Eukaryota; Metazoa; Chordata; Mammalia; Rodentia; Sciuridae
Source: RNAcentral
GCCGGGUACAGUGGUGCAUGCCUGUAAUCCCAGCAGCUCAGGAGGCUGAGGCAGGAGGAUCAAGAGUUCAAAGCCAGCCUCAGCAACUUAGCAAGGCCCUAAGCAACUCAGUGAGACCCUGUCUCUA